Molecule: ribosomal RNA, 959 nt
Filed under: bacterium enrichment culture clone L11_1_13
Lineage: Bacteria
Description: bacterial SSU rRNA
Rfam family: Bacterial small subunit ribosomal RNA
Source: RNAcentral
AGAGUUGAUCCUGGCUCAGAACGAACGCUGGCGGCGUGGAUUAGGCAUGCAAGUCGAACGACGAACUAUCGUGAUUUUCGGGGCAACUUGAGGAUUACGGUGGGGAAAGUGGCGAACUGGUGAGUAACACGUGGGUAACCUGCCCUGGAGCGGGGGACAACCUCGGGAAACCGGGGCUAAUACCGCAUACGUUUACCUGAACAAAAGUUCAGAUAAAGAAAGAUGGAGGAAGGGAAACUGACCUUUGUCACUCCGGGAUGGGCCCGCGCCCCAUCAGCUAGUUGGCGAGGUAACGGCUCACCAAGGCGACGACGGGUAGCUGGCCUGAGAGGGUGGCCAGCCACACCGGGACUGAGAUACGGCCCGGACUCCUACGGGAGGCAGCAGUCUAGAGGCUUCGGCAAUGGACGAAAGUCUGACCGAGCGACGCCGCGUGCGGGAUGAAGCCCUUCGGGGUGUAAACCGCUGUCAGUGGGGAAGAAUGCCUGGAAGGUUCGUACUUUCCGGGAGGGACGGUACCCGCAGAGGAAGCCCCGGCUAACUCCGUGCCAGCAGCCGCGGUAACACGGAGGGGGCAAGCGUUGUUCGGAUUUACUGGGCGUAAAGGGCGCGUAGGCGGCCGUAUAAGUCCAGUGUUAAAUUCCUACCGCUUAACGGAGGACAUGCACUGGAUACUAUUCGGCUUGAGGACGGUAGAGGCAAACGGAAUUCCAGGUGUAGCGGUGGAAUGUUUAGAUAUCUGGAAGAACACCGGUGGCGAAGGCGGUUUGCUGGGCCGUCCCUGACGCUGAGGCGCGAAAGCGUGGGGAGCAAACAGGAUUAGAUACCCUGGUAGUCCACGCUGUAAACGGUGCACACUAGGUGUAGGGGGUACCGACCCCCUCUGUGCCGCAGGUAACCCAUUAAGUGUGCCGCCUGGGGAGUACGUCCGCAAGGGUGAAACUCAAAGGAAUUGACGG